GAUGAAGAACGUAGCGAAAUGCGAUACUUGGUGUGAAUUGCAGAAUCCCGUGAACCAUCGAGUCUUUGAACGCAAGUUGCGCCCGAAGCCAUUAGGCCGAGGGCACGCCUGCCUGGGCGUCACACGUCGUUGCCCCCCCAUCUACUCCUUCGGGAUUGCGGGGGGCGGAUGAUGGCCUCCCGUGCGCCUCGUCGCGCGGUUGGCCUAAAUGCCAAGUCCUCGGCGACGCACGCCACGACAAUCGGUGGUUGCGAAACCUCGGUUGCCCGUCGUGUGCGGUCGUCGCGCAUCGAGGGCUCGAAAAAAUUGCCGGGCUUCGGCUCGACUUUCAACGCGACCCCAGGUCAGGCGGGGUUACCCGCUGAAUUUAAGCAUAUCAAUAAGCGGAGA
This 390-nucleotide unclassified non-coding RNA is filed under the name soil metagenome. RNAcentral's name for it is "partial contains 5.8S ribosomal RNA, internal transcribed spacer 2, and large subunit ribosomal RNA". The stretch from base 1 to 122 matches the Rfam family "5.8S ribosomal RNA", at positions 35 to 154 of the family's 154-position model. The record is from RNAcentral.